UACGAAGGGUGCGAGCGUUAAUCGGAAUUACUGGGCGUAAAGCGCGCGUAGGCGGUUUGUUAAGUUGGAGGUGAAAUCCCCGGGCUCAACCUGGGAACUGCCUCCAAAACUGGCUGACUAGAGUACGGUAGAGGGUGGUGGAAUUUCCUGUGUAGCGGUGAAAUGCGUAGAUAUAGGAAGGAACACCAGUGGCGAAGGCGACCACCUGGACUGAUACUGACGCUGAGGUGCGAAAGCGUGGGGAGCAAACAGGAUUAGAUACCCCCGUAGUCC
Molecule: ribosomal RNA, 273 nt
Filed under: uncultured bacterium
Lineage: Bacteria
Description: partial 16S ribosomal RNA
Rfam family: Bacterial small subunit ribosomal RNA
Source: RNAcentral